This is a long non-coding RNA of Electrophorus electricus (electric eel), 1215 nucleotides long. NCBI's taxonomy places the organism in Eukaryota, Metazoa, Chordata, Actinopteri, Gymnotiformes, Gymnotidae. The record is from Ensembl.
CAAAUAUACUACAGGCUUUACUGUAGCCAACCAACGAGAAAGGGUUCAAACAAAGACCGUUGUUAUAGUUUGGAUCAAAACAACUCUAGCUGGUACAAAACAAAGACCAAAUUCCAACUAGAGCAAAACUUUUCAAUCUGCUUGGCCUGUCCAUGUCGGUAAAUGACAAGCAGCGUUUCGUAGACGUACAGAUACCGUGCCAUGUAACCGCUGAACAAGGACUUCAGUAUCGGAAAAUCACCUGGUACAAGGUGGAAGAGGGUUCUAAUGUGUUAACUGGUCUUGUGAUGAAAGAUCUGCGUACACGUUUGACUUUCCUAUAUAAAUAUGCCAGUCAGCCCUACAAAGUGGGAGGUCAUUAUGCUCUGCUUGUCCCCGAGGCUGGAGGGGAGGAUUGUGGGCGUUACCGUUGCGCUCUCUGGCCUCCUGUGGGUCAUUAUAUUCAGGAUGGAGACUAUGAGUACUAUCCACCAGGUGAGUCAGAUAUCUCAAAAGUGAGUUAUUUAGUGCUGCAGUGACAUUCCCUGUCCAGCUUGUUCCAGUUAAAACAUAAACACACUGAUUCUGCUUGUGUCAGCUGAUGGAAGAGAUUUCUUUCAUGUACAGAAUACAUAUAAAUGCACAGUGAAAUGUCAAUAAUAGAACAAAAGAAAAUGUGUUAAGCAGUGAAAUAUCUUAAAUCUUAGAAAAUCAUGCAUUCAAAUUUCUAAAUUACACAUUAGUGCAAUGUUUUUGGCAUCUUUAAUAUGAUGGCUUCAUUUCUUGGUAGAAUAGAGUUAAGACAUUUUAACUCAGAACUGUGGUGACUGAGUUUAAAGAAUCAUUCAGUUUAAUAGUUUAGAAUGAAUUAAAAAACACCAAAUAUACAUUUUUGUUAAAUACAGGGAACGUCAGCAUACCUUGAUAAACAUUGAAAUCUAAAACAAUAAGACUUUUUCAGAGUACAUUUAAUGAUCUUAUUUCAUGUUUUUUUUUCUAUUUUAUGUUUUUAAUUUCUUUUUCUAUUUUAUGUAACUGUAACUGUAUUUUGUGUAAUUUUAAACAUGGAGCAACCACAGGUUGAAACUGAAAAUGUAAAAAAUGGACUUAGGUUUUAAGACUAUGGUUUUAAAAAUAGAACAAUAUGGAAACAGGUUUUUGUUUUUUUUUCUUCUUUUUUUUUUUCCAGCCAAUACAGGCAUUAUUUCAUGGUCAAUACUUCACCCUUCACCAGCC